Non-coding RNA from Electrophorus electricus (electric eel), 2094 nucleotides. NCBI's taxonomy places the organism in Eukaryota, Metazoa, Chordata, Actinopteri, Gymnotiformes, Gymnotidae. The record is from RefSeq and is a predicted model, not a curated record.
AUCUCAAAAACCAUGUGUCUUUAAAUUAAAUGCAUUUUGAGUUUCAUUUAAAUUCACCACAAUUGUCAUUCUGACCUUUUUCAGACAUAUUUCAUAAACUGAGUUAUAAAUGUAAAACUUUUAAGAAGAGUAUCUUCUUGGUUUGUUAGAAUUGAUACUUCUCCAAUUUUUGGAGAGGGAAGAUAAUGUAUGAUGUAUUAUUUAAAUUAUAUGUGGGCUAAAUCAUUUGUAACUAGGUGUGAGAAAAUGACAUAAUUGAGUAAGAAUGGUUGAAAAGGGCCCAUAUGAAUGAGAUUUCAAAACACUGAUUAUUUAAUUGCUUGUAAAUAUGUAGAAUGGAUUGCAAUCCCUGGAAAAGCCUCACAAAAAUGUUGUGGACUGAGGCAAGGACUCCAUUCUGCUUAUUUUGUUUGCCUUCUUAUUGGUGUAUCCAGGAGACGUUCACCUUAAUCGAGGAAAUCUUGAAGAUCACAUAAUAUACCUGAGGUAUUAGACUGGUAGAGCAAUAAUAUAAAAAUAAAUGUUCUUUUUUUGCAUUGCAUAGCCAUUAGGUAUAAAAAGUGCAACAUCUUAAAUAUUGCUAUCUCUGUUAUCUUCUAAAUGUAUGGUUUCACCAAAUAAGUGUUGGGCAGAUAUAAGAUAGGCCUUUAGUUCAAUUUCCCAUGCUCACUUACAUCCCAGGUCUUGCCAUAGUAGUGUGUUUACCAUUUUCCCCUGAUCCCACAGAGCAGAUUUCAUUAUGAUGACUAUACAGUCUGUUUCUAUAAACUGAUGAAUGCUCCAUCUGGUGGUAGCAAGAGGAAGUCUGCAGGACCAAAGAGAGAAUUAUUUUUCUGUGCAGGUGGUGGUGAACAUGUUCACUUUCCAAUUAUGAUAGCAAUAAAUCUAGUAACUUGACUGAAAUUCUGUAUGUGGUUAAGAAAAAUAUUAUUUAGUGCUUACUAACUGGGAAAUCUGAUGGUUAAAAAAGCAGACUAACUACUUUAGACAUCAGGUAUAGAUUAAUUCAACCAAAUUAUUUUAAAUGAGCAGGUUCUGAAAGAAGCUCAAUUAGCACCAUAACAGUCAUAAAGACUUGUGACUGAUCGCUGGCAUUUUUUGAAGCCUUUGUGAUGAUGAGGUCUCCUUGUUGCCUGUUAUUUUGCAGUGUGUGCUGCUGAGAUUGACUCAGAACAAGCAGUAAUGAACCUUUCAACAUUACAUCUUCAUUCUCUGUAAUCUGUUUUACUCUAAAUACGUUUUUAAGACCAUUUCUUGUCCAUUUCCAGAUACAUGGUUAACAUAUUUUGAAGCUUCUGCAGAAGAUCUUCAGCUGGUUGCCUCUGGCAACAGUGAUCGACCAGAAGGUGCUAAUAGUCACUGACCUGGCUCUGGUGGCCAUGGUGAACAGGCAUCCAGUGAGCCCAACCCCAAUGAAGCAACCAGGUUCAUCUUACUGAGGUUCUCCAGGGAUACAAACACUUCAACAAGUGAUACCUUCAUACAGAACAAGGUCACUGUAACAUGAAAUAGCUUAUGAGGAAAAUAACAAAUUGUACUGAUAUAAGGAAACACACUAAUUCACGGGAGGGAAGGUCACCUUGUCUGUGCCAGAAGUCAGAGUUUCAAUCCAGUUCUCAUGAAUCCUAACUACAUAUUUGUUGUGUAAUUGCUCCCCAAACACCUGCAUCUGAGGAGAGCAGCUGUUUCUCAGUUCUUUCGUACCUGACUGAGCUAUGCUGAGACAAAGAUGACAAAGAUACUGGAAGUGACCCCAUGACUCAGAAUGGUUGCAUAACCAAUAAACUUCAUGGUGGAGGCUGUUACUGGAGCCACAGUGUGACUGAGGACCUUUUGAACAGACACACCCUGCAUCUCUUCAUUCACUCCCAUGAGUGCAAGCAAGACGAAUAUGAGUUUUGUCAUAACUUCAAGCACACUGAACAGAUGUUGCUGGCAAGUCUUUACAGACACUGCUUGACUCUGGAGAACAUCUUCAGAAUAGUGGAUACAGAAAACUCUGGCCUCUUCUCUUUUGAGGGCUUCCACCGGACAUGAAAAUUGUUAAGUGCACUCUUGAAAACGGAGCUCUUCAACAAGGCCAACUUGGUGGUC